This 72-nucleotide transfer RNA is filed under the name marine sediment metagenome. RNAcentral describes it as "tRNA-Glu". It matches the Rfam family "tRNA". From Rfam's summary of the family: Transfer RNA (tRNA) molecules are approximately 80 nucleotides in length. The record is from RNAcentral.
GGCCCCAUCGUCUAUCGGUCAGGACAUGUCCCUUUCAAGGACAAAAGAGGGGUUCGAUUCCCCUUGGGGCCG